AGCGAACGCUGGCGGCAGGCCUAACACAUGCAAGUCGAACGGUCCUUCGGGAUAGUGGCGGACGGGUGAGUAACACGUGGGAACGUGCCUUUUGGUUCGGAACAACUUGGGGAAACUUAAGCUAAUACCGGAUGUGCCCUUAGGGGGAAAGAUUUAUCGCCAUUAGAGCGGCCCGCGUCUGAUUAGCUAGUUGGUGGGGUAAAGGCCUACCAAGGCGACGAUCAGUAGCUGGUCUGAGAGGAUGAUCAGCCACAUUGGGACUGAGACACGGCCCAAACUCCUACGGGAGGCAGCAGUGGGGAAUCUUGCGCAAUGGGCGAAAGCCUGACGCAGCCAUGCCGCGUGAAUGAUGAAGGUCUUAGGAUUGUAAAAUUCUUUCACCGGGGACGAUAAUGACGGUACCCGGAGAAGAAGCCCCGGCUAACUUCGCGCCAGCAGCCGCAGUAA
Molecule: ribosomal RNA, 447 nt
Filed under: uncultured bacterium
Lineage: Bacteria
Description: partial 16S ribosomal RNA
Rfam family: Bacterial small subunit ribosomal RNA
Source: RNAcentral